Molecule: ribosomal RNA, 380 nt
Filed under: uncultured eukaryote
Lineage: Eukaryota
Description: partial 18S ribosomal RNA
Rfam family: Eukaryotic small subunit ribosomal RNA
Source: RNAcentral
CAAUAGCGUAUAUUAAAGUUGUUGCAGUUAAAAAGCUCGUAGUCGGAUUUUGGCAUCACGCCGCACUGUCUGCCGAUUGGUAAGUACGGUUUGGCGGUUGCUUCCUUCCGGUGCUUUAUGCUGCUCUUAAUUGAGCGGUAUGCUAGUUCCGGUUCAUUUACUUUGAGAAAAUUAGAGUGUUCAAAGCAGGCCUAUGCUCUGAAUAGGUUAGCAUGGAAUAAUAGAAUAGGACUUUGGUUCUAUUUUGUUGGUUUCUAGGACCGAAGUAAUGAUUAAUAGGGACAGUUGGGGGCAUUCAUAUUCCAUUGUCAGAGGUGAAAUUCUUGGAUUAACGGAAGAUGAACUUCUGCGAAAGCAUCUGCCAAGGAUGUUUUCAUUGA